GGUAUUUCGACAUGCCGGCCGAAGUCUGUUGUUGACAGUGUCUAAUCAAGCAUACUCCUUUGCUUCAAUAUGCUUCAACGCCUUGUAGAAGUUGCAGUACUUGGACAUGUCCCACAGUGCGCUGUAUUGUCGUAUGUUGCGAUAUGAGAGACGGGACCCAGCUUUGGACGAUCGAAUGCAGCGACACCAAGCGGAAGAUCCAGUCUGCGAAUCAAAAUGGCCACCAUGCAUGAAGGUUUCGGAGAUUUCUUGCCAAAUCACGAUCGGUCAUGUGCGGUACUACCAAGUGUCAGGCAAGAGAAACUGAUGCAGUUUGUGCAUUAGUUUUGCAGGGUGUCCAGGAACACCUGGUGUCCCAGUGCACCACAGUCAUCAAAGAAGUUGGGCUGCAUCAAACGUGCACUGCAGGUUGGUCUGUUUCGGAAGAGUGUUUACUCCAGUAAUACAAAAAGGUGGUGCUGUCAUAUUUCUGGAAUAUUGCUCACUGAUAGAAAG
This is a long non-coding RNA of Haliotis rubra (blacklip abalone), 495 nucleotides long. RefSeq lists it as uncharacterized. The transcript is spliced from 3 exons. The record is from RefSeq and is a predicted model, not a curated record. Lineage: Eukaryota; Metazoa; Mollusca; Gastropoda; Lepetellida; Haliotidae.